RNAcentral lists this long non-coding RNA (2100 nucleotides) under Sitophilus oryzae (rice weevil). RNAcentral describes it as "uncharacterized LOC115885738". Lineage: Eukaryota; Metazoa; Arthropoda; Insecta; Coleoptera; Curculionidae. The record is from RNAcentral.
AAAUUUAAAUACCCUACUAAAAAGAGACUUGGACGAACAUUGGUGGAGUCAGUUCUUUGCUAUGGUUCAGAGCUAUGGACUUUGAGUGCAGAUACGAAGCGGAAAAUCCAAGUUGUUGAAAUGGACUAUCUUAGAAGGAGCGCAAGUAUAUCUAGGAUGGAAAAAAAGACAAACAUCGAGGUCAGGCGUAUCAUGAAUGCAUCGAAGGAGACAGUGCUAGAUCGAAUUGAAAAAUCGAGCUUAAAGUGGUUUGGACAUGUUCUACGUAUGCCGGAGAACAGGUGGCCAAGAAAAGUUUUUCAAUGGACUCCUCAGGGUAGAAGAAAGAGAGGCAGACCUAGAAUAUCAGAUAUAUCUGAUAUUCGCCAAUGCGCACACUCGCGUCAACUAUCUAACUAUAAGUCUAAUUGUCUAACUGUCUAACUAAUCCUAACUUAACUAACCGUAACUCUACUGAGGUCCCAGCCUUUUUGUUCUUGUCCUGCGCACACACCCACCAGACGAGCCUGCGUGCUCCAGUCUGUGGGGCCCCACACUACCGACACCUGCGCACUACGUACCACCACGCUAACAGAUGGGUAUGUGCCCUCGAAACUAAUUAGGCAUUCCAACGACCUGUCAAAAUCGAUCCAAUAUGGCCGCUGGGGGCACACAUGGCUGUAUUUACAUUAGUCCUUGUGGUAGUCAAAUCAGAGCUAAGUUAUAUUUAAUACAUUUUAUAGUGUUUUUCAGUUCAUAUUGUGGCUCAGUAGUUAGCUGUUAGCACAUUUAUAGUAAAUUUUGAUAGCCAGGAUAUAAAUUCUGCCAGAAACAUAAUAUUUUAAGACGUUUUGUUACAUGCCGAUUACGUGUCGGAAGUCGAGCAAAUAAAGACAAUUUAUAUUUUUAUUGUGUCCCUACGACCACAAAUCACCGCUUCUUAACAGAACAAAAUUAAUUGUCCAAGAAACGUCGUUCUCUUUGGAUGGCAGCUAUAAAAAGAGAUGAUUUAAUGUGGUGUAUAAUCUAUAAUACAAAAACAGAGGGUGUGUAGCAAACACUUUCUAACAGGUCUGUAGUAAAAAUCCUUUAUUGAUAUUUCUGUUUUAAUAAUUGUGGAAUAUUACAAGUUUAUAAUUGUUAUUUCUAGGAAAACUUGUUAGUUUAGAAGAUGAAAAUCAUCCAGAUUGAGUUGGUUCCGUCACAAGACAUGGGUCAUAAUUGUAUAUAUCUGAGAAAAAGACAGGAUGAUAUUGAGAGAAAACUAAGGGCAGACUAAAGAAGAAAAGUACAAUAUGAAGCCAUUCUUAACACGUCUGAAGCAGAACCUCAUCGUGUGAUUGAAACAAAUGUUCGAAUCAACAGUUUUAGUAUACAAACAUAUAUCACGAUGGAUGACUUAUGCAACAAAUUUGAGCAGCUUAGUUUUGCAACAUCUAAAAUAAGUAAUUUCGCCUGAUUGCAGAUUACAUACCAUUUACACAAACGACAGCUCUAAGCAAGUUUAAAAGAUUUGGGUUAUUGUUUUAAAGUGUCUUUUGCUACAGCCUCAACAACAUUUAAAGUAAUCAAUAAUGAUUUAUACAAAAGGUAUAAAACCUUAUAAAUAGAAUGGUCCAAUCCAUCUACGAUGCUCUAAAAAUAUGACAUAUUGUUUUAAAAUGGCAUUUAGGAAUCGCAUUGUAUUAUUGAUUGUUACUCAAAUAUUUAUUUAUUUAUAACAUUAUAUUGUAAUUCUUAUUUUCACGAGUGUAAAUUACAAAAUUAGCUUAUUGUUUAUAUAUCGUAAUAAACGAAUAUGUACUAUAUACUGUUAUACUCCUUAACAAAAAUAUACAAUUGUCGAAUAAACAAUAAGAAAGAUACUUUUUAUUUAUUUCUAUUAUUUUUUACACAUACUGAUGGCCCAAUAGAUAUGUUUUAUUAAAAAAAUAUAUACUGAAUACAAAACUAAAACCUCAAUCGAUAGAAUUAUGACAGAACAGCUGAUCGGCUUCAUUGACCUUGCCCCCAGCCGCCAUUUUAAAAUCACGUGGUUUGGAAUGCCUAAUUGCGGUUAUGUUUUUAAACAGAGCUAUGCCCCUUACAAAGUUUGUGGUUAGAUUUCAGACGGACUGAGAA